GCCAUGAUGAUCUUUAUCUGUCAAUCAGCGGAUAGUUUAUAUGUGAAGAUUGAUUUACCUCUAAGAAGUUCUGAGCUC
This 78-nucleotide small nucleolar RNA is filed under the name Galdieria sulphuraria. RNAcentral describes it as "Small nucleolar RNA SNORD61". It matches the Rfam family "Small nucleolar RNA SNORD61". From Rfam's summary of the family: U61 belongs to the C/D class of snoRNA which contain the C (UGAUGA) and D (CUGA) box motifs. Most of the members of the box C/D family function in directing site-specific 2'-O-methylation of substrate RNAs. Lineage: Eukaryota; Rhodophyta; Bangiophyceae; Galdieriales; Galdieriaceae. The record is from Rfam by way of RNAcentral.